This is a non-coding RNA of Oryza glumipatula, 208 nucleotides long. The record is from Rfam. NCBI's taxonomy places the organism in Eukaryota, Viridiplantae, Streptophyta, Magnoliopsida, Poales, Poaceae.
UCCCAAAAUAACCGUAAAUAUCCGUGCCCAACAUUUGACCGUCCGUCUUAUUUGAAAAAUUUAUGAAAAAUUUAAAAAUAUUUAGUCACACAUGAAGUACUAUUCAUGUUUUAUCAUCUAAUAGCAAUAAAAAUACUAAUCAUAAAAAAUUUUCAAUUAAGACGAACGAUCAAACGUUGAACGUGAAUAGUGUAAAACUGCACUUAUU